UACAGAGGGUGCAAACGUUGUUCGGAAUUACUGGGCGUAAAGCGCGUGUAGGCGGCCUUCUAAGUCGAACGUGAAAUCCCCGGGCUCAACCCGGGAACUGCGUCCGAUACUGGAAGGCUUGAAUUCGGGAGAGGGAUGCGGAAUUCCAGGUGUAGCGGUGAAAUGCGUAGAUAUCUGGAGGAAUACCGGUGGCGAAGGCGGCAUCCUGGACCAUUACUGACGCUGAGGCGCGAAAGCUAGGGGAGCAAACGGG
This 253-nucleotide ribosomal RNA is filed under the name uncultured bacterium. RNAcentral describes it as "partial 16S ribosomal RNA". It matches the Rfam family "Bacterial small subunit ribosomal RNA", at positions 524 to 776 of the family's 1533-position model. The record is from RNAcentral.